GAUGAAGAACGUAGCGAAAUGCGAUAAGUAAUGCGAAUUGCAGAAUUCCAGUGAGUCAUCGAAUCUUUGAACGCACAUUGCGCCCUUUGGUAUUCCGAAGGGCAUGCCUGUUCUAGCGUCAUUAUCACCCCUCAAGCCCCCGGCUUGGUGUUGGACGGCUUGGUGGAGACCCUUUUGUGGCCCACCCCUCCCAAAGACAAUGACGGCGGCCUCGUUGGACCCCCGGUACACUGAGUUCUUCACGGGACACGUAUCGGACACACGGGUUUACGGGUCACGGUCUGCCUCCCCUCAGGGAGAACUUUUCUAAGGUUGACCUCGGAUCAGGUAGGGAUACCCGCUGAACUUAAGCAUAUCAAUAAGCGGAGGA
Molecule: unclassified non-coding RNA, 370 nt
Filed under: soil metagenome
Description: partial contains 5.8S ribosomal RNA, internal transcribed spacer 2, and large subunit ribosomal RNA
Rfam family: 5.8S ribosomal RNA (bases 1-121)
Source: RNAcentral